GCAGUUCCCGCGGCUCUCUACAGCAGAGAAGAGAAGAGAAAACGCGGCAGGGCGCUCUGUUGGCUUCUCCAGGAGUGACUGUGCUGCUUUCCAAGAUGAAACCUCCCUUCCUUUGCAGUUCGCUGAGAGCUUCAGUGACCCUCGCUCAUCCUUUGGAGCCCUCUGCCAGGACGAGCCAGUUGUGUGUGGCUUCUGGUGCCUGACCAUUCCUAUCCUGGCUGGAGUCUCCAGAGGUGAGUUUUUACUCUCUUCUCAGUGGAUUCUGACUUCCUGUGUCUGACGAGCCUGGGCAGUACCACAUCUCCUGAUACCACUGAGCAAAAGUGCCCCUGCGGACCCAUUCCACACCCAGCUCCUCCAAGAGCUUACCCAGAUUCCUGAAGAUCAAUCAGCCUUUGUGGUGCCUACACUCUAGUGAUGGUCAGCAAAGCAAAAUGAAAGUGAGGUGACAUGAGCAGGAAACAUGGAGUGAGUGGCUCAUGAUCGCCAAAGGGAAGAGUGGCUGUUAAUAAAUCUGCAACAAAAUCUUGGAAAAUUUCAAAUGCCAAGUGUCUGAAGAAUAAGAACUGGAAUUGAGACUGUCCUAACUAGGUGAUAAUGAACAGCAAUGUCAGAGAAGUGCAAAUACCGUGAUCAGAUUACCCUAGUUUGUGGCUAAAUCUGGGAUGUUACCUUCAAAAAGAGUCAAACUGGAAUCUAGAGGCACUAAAAUUCAGGUGAGUCAGCAGGUUAGUAAUAAGUAGUACAAGCUUUUUUUCAACUGCUGUUUUUAAAAACAUAGUAAUUACCACUGAAUGCAAAGUGCAUCCUGCUUUAAAAAAAUUAUUAUUCUGAUGCUUUAGCAAAGGUAAUGCUUUUAUUUUAUUAUGAACUGCCCACGUGUACUUCCCUAGGCUGUGAUUCAUCUGAGCAGUUUUUCAGUUAAAGAACAUUUUAUUCUAGACUGAAAAAAAUAUAUUGAAUGCCCCACAGUGGUGUGAGGUUAGCAUAAACAUGGAAUGACAGGCAGUUAAAUUUAAAACUAGAAUAAUGACAUAAUCUGGCAGUAUAUCAAAGCUACUGUAUAUUUCUUAUGUAUAGCAUUUUGGUUUUCAUGACCGUAAUUUCAGAGGCCAUAUGAUGAUGAGUCAUGGUCCUGUUUACGGUGCUAACAUUUUGUUCUUCCUUUUAACAGUGACAGGAGUCUGAAGAGAUUUUUAGCUCAUUCUAAUUUUCCUCCCUAAAGCUGCUACUUACUGUCCGUGGCUGAUGCUCUUUGCAGAAAGUAUCCUGGAUAGCUCUGGGUUUCUGAAUCGUAAGGGUAUCUCCUCACCAGAGUGCAACAACCUAAAAGCCCUUAACUAAGUUUCUAAUCACAAGCAAGAUGGUCUUGGAUUAAGUGCCCUUUGAGAAUAGCAGCAAUCCUGUCAUUGUGUCUCCCUCACCAUAUCAAAUAGGAUUCUUAUUUUAGCACUGAAAGCAAUUUUUUCCUUGUAGAGAACGAAGAGAAACUCUCAACAGUCAGUUUGAAGAACAGACCACAGUGGAACAAAACACAUUUCCUCUUCUCUCCUACAUGGCUCUGGAGCUAAUUUGAUUUAAUUUAACAAUUACAUAGCGAAUGCUAUUUUACAAAUGUUGCGCUAUUUAAUCUUCAUAGCAACCUUGUGACAUGGUUACUGCUGUUAUCUCCAGUUUACAGAGGACAAAAGGAGAUGCUGAGUGCUCAAAGCUGAAGGAAGUGAACCCAGAUUCAAAGACAGGUUUCUCAGUCUCAUCACUCAGUAGCAGCCAGUUACUUUCUUCCCUUCUUGGAGGUCUCCAACAUCUCCACCCUCCAAUGGGGCUGGAGGGAAACUUCUGAUGAAUAAUGCACCCAACAAACAGCACUAGAGGCAUGAAAUUCUAGAUAUACUUAAAACAUUCCAUGCAUUUUUAUUUCGAAUUCCUCUGCCCACCCAGAAUUUAUGCUUAAUAAAAGAGAAAAUAACUCUGCAUGUCUGAGAUCUUCACAGCUGGUUUGCCAAGCAUGGUCUCUUCUUAUAUUCUGCCAUAUUGCUGGCCUGUUCAGUUUAGCAUUUGCCCUGGGUUUUUCAUUUUUAACCUAUUAUUAUUAGUAACAGUUCAGUAUAAAUGCUAAGAUGGGUCUGGUGGACUUUCACUUUUCCAGCUUCAGCUCCAACUCAGCUAGGACCAUAUCUGAUAGAUGUCCGAACCUUCCUAGGAACAAAGCAACUAACACCAUUCUCCCACGGAGAUCAUGCAGGACACUCGGUAGGACAAGGAAAUGCGCAUGAAUACCAUAUUGAUGUUGCUUGCUGCCCUGCUGGCUUAGUGCUGGUCCAGCCAGUGAAGUGUGGCAGAGGUAGCAAUUCUUGUCACAAUUCUAACCUAAGUCCACAGGGUACCUGAAGCGACCAACCUGCAAGUCAGUGGAUUCUUUAGGAAAUAGGGAGAAGUAUAGGGCAGUUAUACAUAAAAUAUGCAGGGGAAAUCAAGGCAAGUAUGUUCUACCCAGUAAAUUACUGAUUAAAGUAGUCAAAUAAACACCAAAAAAAAAAAAAAAAAAA
RNAcentral lists this long non-coding RNA (2549 nucleotides) under Sus scrofa (pig). RNAcentral's name for it is "lncRNA (ENSSSCG00060022089.1)". The record is from RNAcentral. Lineage: Eukaryota; Metazoa; Chordata; Mammalia; Artiodactyla; Suidae.